AGCGAACGCUGGCGGCAGGCCUAACACAUGCAAGUCGAACGGAUCCUUCGGGAUUAGUGGCGGACGGGUGAGUAACACGUGGGAACGUGCCUUUUGGUUCGGAACAACUCAGGGAAACUUGAGCUAAUACCGAAUGUGCCCUUCGGGGAAAGGAUUUAUCGCCAUUAGAGCGGCCCGCGUCUGAUUAGCUAGUUGGUGAGGUAAAGGGCUCACCAAGGCUACGAUCAGUAGCUGGUCUGAGAGGAUGAUCAGCCACAUUGGGACUGAGACACGGCCCAAACUCCUACGGGAGGCAGCAGUGGGGAAUCUUGCGCAAUGGGCGAAAGCCUGACGCAGCCAUGCCGCGUGAAUGAUGAAGGUCUUAGGAUUGUAAAAUUCUUUCACCGGGGACGAUAAUGACGGUACCCGGAGAAGAAGCCCCGGCUAACUUCGUG
RNAcentral lists this ribosomal RNA (434 nucleotides) under uncultured bacterium. Its description in RNAcentral is "bacterial SSU rRNA". It matches the Rfam family "Bacterial small subunit ribosomal RNA", at positions 29 to 507 of the family's 1533-position model. The record is from RNAcentral.